This is a long non-coding RNA of Centruroides sculpturatus (bark scorpion), 255 nucleotides long. RefSeq lists it as uncharacterized. The record is from RefSeq and is a predicted model, not a curated record. Lineage: Eukaryota; Metazoa; Arthropoda; Arachnida; Scorpiones; Buthidae. The transcript has 3 exons.
CGAGAGUGGUUUAACGAAAAGCUACAACUGAAAACGUGUGAAUUUUGAUGUCUAUAUGAACUUCUAAAUAAUAUCGCUAAGAUGACUUUGUGAAACUCGUUCGAAAAAAGAGUGACAACAGUUAUUGCGUGAAUUUCAGUGUAAUAUGCAAAUAUUGGCCACAGAACGCCAUAUUUGAAAGCCCCGUAGUCAAGCUGUUAUCUUCGACCCUGUUUGUUCUCCAUGUGAUAUAUAGAAUAUGAAACUGUCCAUCCU